UUUUUGGUUGGUUUUUUUUUUUUACAAAGGAUAAGAAUAACAUUUAUUUCUGCCUGAGGUCAGCCAUAUUUCUAAACUCUUUAGAAUGUUUGCACUAAAAUAUUUACAAAGGCAACAAUUACAUGACAAAAGCUCAUUAUGCUAUGACAUAUUAUAAUAGAUUGUAAUUUUAUAUAUACAGAAUCAAAUUCUUUAUAUGUAUAAAAUCACAAAAGCACUCUUUUAACUGCUGUAACUGGGUAAAAUUACUGCAGAUAAUUUCUUUUUCCCCAACUGUUUAUCCACAUCCCAUAGUCUCUAUGGGGAAGCUUAGUGCAAAUCUAACAAUUCCAUACAUGCAGUAAAGUAAAAUUUAAAAAAUAAAAUAAAAAAAAAGAGAGAACUUGAGUGCACUGAAAAAAUAAAUGCAUUAUUUGUGAUACAUGUUUACUCAAACUGAAGGACUUCACUGCCUAAGUUACAACAAAACAUCCUCAGCACAGGAAGGACAUGGAGCUGUUGGAGUGAAUCCAGAGGAGGCAGCCAAAGUGAUCAGAGGGAUGGAGCACCUCUACUAUGAGGAAAGGCUGAGAGAAUGGGGAUUAUUCAGUCUGGAGAACAGAAAGCUUUGAGGUGACCUAACUGUGGCCUUCCAGUCCCUGAAGGAUGCUCACAAGAAAGAUGGAAAGAGACUUCUUACAAGAGUUUGGAGUGUAAGUGGGACAAGAGGGAAUGUCUUCAAACUGAAAGAGCAGGUUCAGAUUAGAUAUUAGGAGCAACAGAUUAGCAACAUUAGAUUAGCAACAUUAGAUUAGCAACAUUAGAUUAGCAACAUCUUUUCUGUGAAGAUGUUGAGGCCCUGGCACAGGUUGCCCAAAGAAGCUGUGGCUGCCCCAGCCCUGGACACGUUCAAGGCCAGGUUGGAUGGGGCUUGGAUCAGCCUGGGAUAAAGGAAGGCAUCCCUGCCCAUGGCAAGAGGGGUUGGCAGAUCAUCUUUUAGCUCCCUUCAACCCAGACCAUUCUGUGAUUCUGAUUCAUUGGGCACUUCAUGACAUGAUGAACUCUACCAGGAACUCAGCAUUAGAUUAGGGCAGCAUCAGAAUCAUGUUUCUUAGCUAGAAUCAUCACCCCAGUACUGCACAGAUCUCAUGUACACACCAAGCAGUCACCUGAAGCUGGCCUCAAACAGAACUGGUUCUGACAUGAAGAGAAGAAAUGUCAGGGAGCUAGUCAGGAGACAGAACUUGCUCUUUUUCUCAUUAAUGGGCCAAUAGGGAGCAAUGUGUAUGUCAGGCCAGCUGCUGCACAGGAGCACACCAAUAGCAACAGUGGCAAGAAAUGCCUCCCUCCAUCUUUUAGCCAAAAGCUCUGUGUCAUUUCCUCUUGGACCAGAGCCUUGCUACCAUGAUUCAUGCUCUGCUUGGUUACUACAACCCACUGCAUCUGGAGCUGCACAGAUGCAGGAUAAAGAGCUACAAAACCAGACACACUCAUGAGAAUCCUGACUGAGGAAUAACUGUCUAUGAGACUGGGGUGAGACAGUCUGGUACAUUGAAAGUGUAGUUUCAAAUAAAGUCUUGUCAAAAGUCCAGCCACUUUUUCUUGAGCAGAUUAUAAGGAAACAACAAAGAAGUAAGGAGACGGUAUUUUAUAUCAUUAACCAAGUCAUUAACAUAAGGGAUGAACAUAUUUAAUAUUACUCUCAUGUUUACCUCCAUUGUCUAUAUAUACCAGUGACAAAAGUGCAGGCAGAUUGAAAGUAGAAAUGUAUUUCUCUCAUGCAAGGAAGUUUCCAUUGCUUACACAGCCUCUAGAGCUUAAGAUGUACUUUUUCCCCAUAAGUAAUAAAUUCAGUUAAGAACAUUUUGGACACAACUGUCUUUGACUCAUGGUAGUGGGUCUGAGUCCAGCUGAAUUUCUCUCCAGGCUGGGGAAACCUGAAUUUUAUCAGUUUCAUGAAUCACUACCAGCUUUCCUCACUUGACUCCAGAGUCACCCCGUUUCCAUUCUUUGGACAUGAACCCAUUCAGAAACAAUGUGAAAUAAUGGGUGGAGAGUCCUUCUGAUGCAGUGCCUGGCUGUGAAGAAGGUUAGUCACCUCAGGCCUGACAAAAGUCUUCACAAGGGAGAUGGUGUCCAACUAUUCAGAUAAGAACAGUGAGUACAACAUGUUCCAAGCCAAGUGGUAUCUUCCAGGCAAACUGAUCCCACUUCCCGUCAUUUUUAUAUAGUAGCUACAAUACCUUGUAAAAAUUAUGGCUUGAAGCUGCACAAAACAGGUAUAAAUGAACAAAUUACCUUGGCAAAUGGAACAGUGGCUACAGAUUAUGAUGAUGUAAUGUGGAUGUACUUCUAUCUACAUAAGACAUUCGACUUAGUAGCUUUUAAAUAUAUGUUAGCAUUCUAACAGAGUUUUUCCUAAUGUUCUUAUGCUAAUAUCACGCCAGGCAGAACCAUGUUGUAUGAAUGUUAUUCAUCAGUGUCAGUCAAACCAGUCAUAAUCAGAGUUUAGCAUUUUCUUUAAAAUAUAUUUUGCUGUUAUUGAGCUAAUGCCUAAUGAAAUAUAAUGAAAGAGCAGUCCCCAAACACUGCCACUGCAGAUUUAGGUGAGGUUUAACAAAGGAUAGCCAUUAAAAUUAAGCAAUUGUGCUUAACUGUCUCUAGUCAUUCAGCAUGGAAAGCUCAUCAAAACAUCUGACAGUGACUAUCCUAAUUUAUUUCCUCAGUUUAAAUAUGAUUCACACUACAACCAAAGUUGAUUCUGUCAACUCUACUACACUGUUCUUAAUGGGAGGGUGGGUAGAGAAAAGAAUAAGAGAAAAGAAAAAGAUCUAUAGAUAGUCAAAGAAUUUGUAAUCUAACUAAAUAGGUUCACAAACCACACUAUUGGCAGACAGAGUAUAAAAUCUUUAGAAAUGUUGAAAUGUCUAGAUGUAAGUUCCCAAAUGUGUAGACACUUUAAAAAAUAGGAUGUAGGCUCCCAGCUCACUGCACUGAGCAUGUUACACUAAGUUGGUGUGUGCUUUCCUUCCCACUCAACCCCCUUGCUGCAGGGUAAAUGACUGGAGAGAAAUUUACAAAAGGAUGAAGCAUCUAAUCCCAAGCCUUUAAUCACCACUUUCUAUUUUUAAGCAAAUCAGUGUGUAUCUUUCCAAGCUCUGCCUCACUAUUACUUCUGCAGAAAGACAUCUAAAUGUUAAGAUACCUACAUUGUUGUGUGUCUUUGGUAAGGCCUAAGCAAGAAGCAGCUUGGGGACAAGAUCUAACAAGGUGUCUCACUCCUCUGACUCUACCCCUCCCAUUUUCUACCUCCAGUCCAGUAUCUGCAGUACUCUAACACAAUGUCCCGUUUUCAAACACCUAAUCCUCAAACAAACUUCAUGUGCAAAGUUCCAGCACUGCCCUGUGACAGCCAGAGUCUGGGCCUCUGCACCAAGGCCAGCUGUACUGCUGUUGGCAUAACCUUUAUGAAGAAAAUCAACAUCCUUGAAGUGGAGAAGAGACAUGACUCCUAUACCUCCAGAUCUUGCACCUCUCAUUCUUGUUUUUCUUUGGGCGAACCUGAUUCCAGGGUUCCAUUGUAUUUACUCCCCUGCUCCUAUUGGCCAAUGAGAAGGGGAACAUCAACCACAAAAACCAGAAAACCCUGUGAUCAUGCCAAAACCUCACUAGACGUCUCUUUUGCUAUGGUGAAUGUCUCAAUUUUUAAAGAUAAGUGUAUGGUAGUGGCUAUGAACAAGUGAGUAUGUGAUGAUCACCUAGGUUAUGUACAAUAAGCACCUUCACUUGCAUGCAUUAAACAGUGGUUACUGUACAAAUUAAUUAACUGGUUGCUGCUCUGAUGCUGAGAAUUCCUGCAGACUGACUAGUUCUCAUUCUGAAAAAAAAAAAAUUGUCUUAUUUGGCACUUUCUUGAUUCUCCAAGGAGUGUCCAGACAACAACAUUAAAGCAAGGUGUCAACCAGGGACAAUUUUUGGGACAAUUGCUUCUCUAUUGUUCACCUUCCAAACAAGCCUUCCCAGAGUACUCAUUUAUCAACUGUCUGAAGCAUAUUUUACAUUCAAAGCUGUCUGACACUGUGAAUUAAACAUGAUGGAGGCAAUGCCUGGACAAAAUCUAAACCUCCUCCUUGCUGCUCGCAGACUGGAGAGUAGAGAGCUCUGUACAUCAUUGACUGAGCUUCACUCUACCGAGGGUGAAAACAAUCCCAUCAAUCUAAAUACAAAAUUAAUAUUUAAAGACAUUCUUUGUCUCUAAAUAGGUUAGGUGAGGUUAUCAGCUCUUGGCAGGUUGUACAAAUGUAUGUGUGGUAGGGUUUCCCAGGGAAUUAUCUGUAAAAGGUACACCCCAGCAAAAUUAUUGUAAUAUUUUUGCUUCUUUAUUUGAUUUCUCUAACACCCAACUUUUACACAACUUCAUAGUUAUGCAUUUUGUGGAGAGAAGGUGUAUCUUCUGGACUUUAGUGCAUUACUGAAAGCAAGCAUGUGUCUUAGGAAAACCUUUGUCCAAAAUCUUUGGUGCCUGUGGCCUAUUUAUCUUUUUAUCUGCAGAUUGAGAAAAAUGAGCCAAAGAUUUACAUAAAAUGGACACUUAAUAAAAGGUUUACAAAUUACAGUACAUAAUUAUGUAUCUGGAAGGAACACUGAUAUUCCUUCUUUUUUCGAAACUUUUCCACUUCAAUUUGCUCAAAAAGCUCCCCAAAAGCAGGUCUAGGCAAAGCAUCCAUUAAAUCAUGGGAGCAGAGAGGCCUGUCAAGGGAAUAAUAUCUUGUGUGAAUAUUUUAAUUUAGUCAUCAUUUCUUGAAAUUCUUUAUUCCAUUAAAAUAUGGAGAAUGAAAGAUUUUGCUCAGGUUUUAUGUGCUGAAAACUGGGUUUGCUCCUUUGGCUUUUUGUAUUUAAAUUACAAACCAGAAACCUUUCAGCAGAAAAUAUCUUGCCAACAGUAAAAUAUUUUUGUAGGUAGUCAGUUUCCAAAAAAGAAUGUUGAUUUUUUGACUGGCUAUUCUUAUCAUUGAUCUUUCCCUAACAGUGUGGAACAUGAUGUCAGUGAAUUAUCAUGCAGAAGAAAAUUAUUUUCUUUUCUCACUGUAGUAAUCACCAGGCUAGCUUGUCUCAAACAAUAUGAGUGACAACAUUUAAUUUAGACCUGAAUUGAUUUAGUCCAUGGUCAGGCUGAUGAAUAAACUGCUGAUAAUAGAAACACUGAAACUGAGCUAAAACAAAAGAACUUAACAUAUAAAAAUUCAAGUCUGGAAAUGGUAGACAUUCAAGCUUGAGCAGGUUGAAUUAACUUGUCCACUUAAAAUCUGAUUUAAAAGCUCAUAAUGAAAAGGCAUUAAUACAACACUGCUCAUUUAGCUCCGAUCAGCAAAACUGCCAUUUUCCCAUUUCAUGGCUCUGACAGGUUAUGUCAUAGCCCUCUCAUUUCAGGUCUUCCCAGUUACAUAAAUAUUUUGUUGCUUAUUAGCAGUGUCAUUGUCCCACCAACAGCACAUAUCUAAGCACCAAUAAGUAAUCAUUAACUAAUUAGACACAACAGGACUGUUUGCCAACAGAAGAAAAGAAUCACAUUUAAACCCUUGAAUCACUACAUCCUAGUUUAAUGGAUCUGAAAAAAAAAAAAAAAAAAAAAAAAAAAA
Taeniopygia guttata (zebra finch) is the source of this 5618-nucleotide long non-coding RNA. The record is from Ensembl. NCBI's taxonomy places the organism in Eukaryota, Metazoa, Chordata, Aves, Passeriformes, Estrildidae.